UUUGGAGGGCAAGUCUGGUGCCAGCAGCCGCGGUAAUUCCAGCUCCAAUAGCGUAUAUUAAAGUUGUUGCAGUUAAAAAGCUCGUAGUUGAAUUUCGGGAUCAAUAUUUCGGUCAUGCCGUUGGUAUGCACUGUUAUCAUUGAUUUCUCACCUUCUAAAGAACCGUAAUGCCAUUAAUUUGGUGUUACGGGGAAUUAGGACUGUUACCUUGAAAAAAUUAGAGUGUUUAAAGCAGGACAAC
This 241-nucleotide ribosomal RNA is filed under the name Funneliformis mosseae. RNAcentral's name for it is "partial small subunit ribosomal RNA". It matches the Rfam family "Eukaryotic small subunit ribosomal RNA", at positions 547 to 789 of the family's 1831-position model. The record is from RNAcentral. Lineage: Eukaryota; Fungi; Glomeromycota; Glomeromycetes; Glomerales; Glomeraceae.